AAUGGAAUAGUUGGGAUAAAUGGUGGUUCCAUUCCAAGUUUUCCAAGGAAUCCCCAUAAUGUUUUCCAGAUUGGUUGCACCAAUUUGCAAUCCCACCAGCAAU
RNAcentral lists this microRNA precursor (103 nucleotides) under Marmota monax (woodchuck). The record is from RNAcentral. Lineage: Eukaryota; Metazoa; Chordata; Mammalia; Rodentia; Sciuridae.